Cyprinus carpio carpio is the source of this 320-nucleotide long non-coding RNA. NCBI's taxonomy places the organism in Eukaryota, Metazoa, Chordata, Actinopteri, Cypriniformes, Cyprinidae. The record is from Ensembl.
UGAGUUUCACCAUAUCAGAGAAAGUGGCACACACCAGCAAGUUUUCACAGAUGUUGCAUGACAUUCUAAAUGUUUGAUCUUCAGAGCCCUUCAUGCUCUCCCAGUGUACAUGUGUGAGGAGAACUGUUCUUCAGGACAUGAACUGAGGAAUUGGGCGAGCCAGACAUCACUGACACGAUCACCUCUCCUGCUGAUUUUGUUAUCAUGGACAUCGAAACCACUUCAAGUCCUGCAAGCACUGCAGUUGUGAUGAGAUGAUCUUCCAGUGUUUGACAUUCAGAAAUACACAGUUCACACGGUUUAAAAAAAGCUCAAUAAAA